This 443-nucleotide ribosomal RNA is filed under the name uncultured bacterium. RNAcentral describes it as "partial 16S ribosomal RNA". It matches the Rfam family "Bacterial small subunit ribosomal RNA", at positions 338 to 795 of the family's 1533-position model. The record is from RNAcentral.
CCUACGGGGGGCAGCAGUGAGGAAUAUUGGUCAAUGGGCUUACGCCUGAACCAGCCAAGUCGCGUGAGCGAUGAAGGUCUUCGGAUUGUAAAGCUCUUUAAGCGGGGACGAAGAAAGUGACUGUACCCGCAGAAUAAGCCUCGGCUAACUACGUGCCAGCAGCCGCGGUAAUACGUAGGAGGCAAGCGUUAUCCGGAAUGACUGGGCGUAAAGGGUGCGUAGGUGGUUUGGCAAGUUGGUAGCGUAAUCCCGGGGCUCAACCUCGGUGCUACUACCAAAACUGUUGAACUUGAGUGCAGGAGGGGUGAAUGGAAUUCCCAGUGUAGCGGUGGAAUGCGUAGAUAUUGGGAAGAACACCAGCGGCGAAGGCGAUUCACUGGACUGUAACUGACACUGAGGCACGAAAGCGUGGGGAGCAAACAGGAUUAGAUACCCUUGUAGUC